GGUUAAGCGACUAAGCGUACACGGUGGAUGCCCUGGCAGUCAGAGGCGAUGAAGGACGUGCUAAUCUGCGAUAAGCGUCGGUAAGGUGAUAUGAACCGUUAUAACCGGCGAUUUCCGAAUGGGGAAACCCAGUGUGAUUCGUCACACUAUCAUUAACUGAAUCCAUAGGUUAAUGAGGCGAACCGGGGGAACUGAAACAUCUAAGUACCCCGAGGAAAAGAAAUCAACCGAGAUUCCCCCAGUAGCGGCGAGCGAACGGGGAGCAGCCCAGAGCCUGAAUCAGUGUGUGUGUUAGUGGAAGCGUCUGGAAAGGCGCGCGAUACAGGGUGACAGCCCCGUACACAAAAAUGCACAUACUGUGAGCUCGAUGAGUAGGGCGGGACACGUGGUAUCCUGUCUGAAUAUGGGGGGACCAUCCUCCAAGGCUAAAUACUCCUGACUGACCGAUAGUGAACCAGUACCGUGAGGGAAAGGCGAAAAGAACCCCGGCGAGGGGAGUGAAAAAGAACCUGAAACCGUGUACGUACAAGCAGUGGGAGCCUCUUUUAUGGGGUGACUGCGUACCUUUUGUAUAAUGGGUCAGCGACUUAUAUUCUGUAGCAAGGUUAACCGAAUAGGGGAGCCGAAGGGAAACCGAGUCUUAACCGGGCGUUAAGUUGCAGGGUAUAGACCCGAAACCCGGUGAUCUAGCCAUGGGCAGGUUGAAGGUUGGGUAACACUAACUGGAGGACCGAACCGACUAAUGUUGAAAAAUUAGCGGAUGACUUGUGGCUGGGGGUGAAAGGCCAAUCAAACCGGGAGAUAGCUGGUUCUCCCCGAAAGCUAUUUAGGUAGCGCCUCGUGAAUUCAUCUCCGGGGGUAGAGCACUGUUUCGGCAAGGGGGUCAUCCCGACUUACCAACCCGAUGCAAACUGCGAAUACCGGAGAAUGUUAUCACGGGAGACACACGGCGGGUGCUAACGUCCGUCGUGAAGAGGGAAACAACCCAGACCGCCAGCUAAGGUCCCAAAGUCAUGGUUAAGUGGGAAACGAUGUGGGAAGGCCCAGACAGCCAGGAUGUUGGCUUAGAAGCAGCCAUCAUUUAAAGAAAGCGUAAUAGCUCACUGGUCGAGUCGGCCUGCGCGGAAGAUGUAACGGGGCUAAACCAUGCACCGAAGCUGCGGCAGCGACACUGUGUGUUGUUGGGUAGGGGAGCGUUCUGUAAGCCUGUGAAGGUGUACUGUGAGGUAUGCUGGAGGUAUCAGAAGUGCGAAUGCUGACAUAAGUAACGAUAAAGCGGGUGAAAAGCCCGCUCGCCGGAAGACCAAGGGUUCCUGUCCAACGUUAAUCGGGGCAGGGUGAGUCGACCCCUAAGGCGAGGCCGAAAGGCGUAGUCGAUGGGAAACAGGUUAAUAUUCCUGUACUUGGUGUUACUGCGAAGGGGGGACGGAGAAGGCUAUGUUGGCCGGGCGACGGUUGUCCCGGUUUAAGCGUGUAGGCUGGUUUUCCAGGCAAAUCCGGAAAAUCAAGGCUGAGGCGUGAUGACGAGGCACUACGGUGCUGAAGCAACAAAUGCCCUGCUUCCAGGAAAAGCCUCUAAGCAUCAGGUAACAUCAAAUCGUACCCCAAACCGACACAGGUGGUCAGGUAGAGAAUACCAAGGCGCUUGAGAGAACUCGGGUGAAGGAACUAGGCAAAAUGGUGCCGUAACUUCGGGAGAAGGCACGCUGAUAUGUAGGUGAAGUCCCUCGCGGAUGGAGCUGAAAUCAGUCGAAGAUACCAGCUGGCUGCAACUGUUUAUUAAAAACACAGCACUGUGCAAACACGAAAGUGGACGUAUACGGUGUGACGCCUGCCCGGUGCCGGAAGGUUAAUUGAUGGGGUCAGCGCAAGCGAAGCUCUUGAUCGAAGCCCCGGUAAACGGCGGCCGUAACUAUAACGGUCCUAAGGUAGCGAAAUUCCUUGUCGGGUAAGUUCCGACCUGCACGAAUGGCGUAAUGAUGGCCAGGCUGUCUCCACCCGAGACUCAGUGAAAUUGAACUCGCUGUGAAGAUGCAGUGUACCCGCGGCAAGACGGAAAGACCCCGUGAACCUUUACUAUAGCUUGACACUGAACAUUGAGCCUUGAUGUGUAGGAUAGGUGGGAGGCUUUGAAGUGUGGACGCCAGUCUGCAUGGAGCCGACCUUGAAAUACCACCCUUUAAUGUUUGAUGUUCUAACGUGGACCCGUGAUCCGGGUUGCGGACAGUGUCUGGUGGGUAGUUUGACUGGGGCGGUCUCCUCCUAAAGAGUAACGGAGGAGCACGAAGGUUGGCUAAUCCUGGUCGGACAUCAGGAGGUUAGUGCAAUGGCAUAAGCCAGCUUGACUGCGAGCGUGACGGCGCGAGCAGGUGCGAAAGCAGGUCAUAGUGAUCCGGUGGUUCUGAAUGGAAGGGCCAUCGCUCAACGGAUAAAAGGUACUCCGGGGAUAACAGGCUGAUACCGCCCAAGAGUUCAUAUCGACGGCGGUGUUUGGCACCUCGAUGUCGGCUCAUCACAUCCUGGGGCUGAAGUAGGUCCCAAGGGUAUGGCUGUUCGCCAUUUAAAGUGGUACGCGAGCUGGGUUUAGAACGUCGUGAGACAGUUCGGUCCCUAUCUGCCGUGGGCGCUGGAGAACUGAGGGGGGCUGCUCCUAGUACGAGAGGACCGGAGUGGACGCAUCACUGGUGUUCGGGUUGUCAUGCCAAUGGCACUGCCCGGUAGCUAAAUGCGGAAGAGAUAAGUGCUGAAAGCAUCUAAGCACGAAACUUGCCCCGAGAUGAGUUCUCCCUGACCCUUUAAGGGUCCUGAAGGAACGUUGAAGACGACGACGUUGAUAGGCCGGGUGUGUAAGCGCAGCGAUGCGUUGAGCUAACCGGUACUAAUGAACCGUGAGGCUUAACCUUACAACGCCGAAGGUGUUUUG
This 2923-nucleotide ribosomal RNA is filed under the name Escherichia coli O157:H7 str. EC1212. RNAcentral's name for it is "LSU rRNA". It matches the Rfam family "Bacterial large subunit ribosomal RNA". Lineage: Bacteria; Pseudomonadati; Pseudomonadota; Gammaproteobacteria; Enterobacterales; Enterobacteriaceae. The record is from RNAcentral.